This 253-nucleotide ribosomal RNA is filed under the name uncultured bacterium. RNAcentral's name for it is "partial 16S ribosomal RNA". It matches the Rfam family "Bacterial small subunit ribosomal RNA", at positions 524 to 776 of the family's 1533-position model. The record is from RNAcentral.
UACGUAGGGUGCGAGCGUUGUCCGGAAUUAUUGGGCGUAAAGAGCUUGUAGGCGGUCUGUCGCGUCUGCUGUGAAAAUCCAGGGCUCAACCCCGGACUUGCAGUGGGUACGGGCAGACUAGAGUGUGGUAGGGGAGACUGGAAUUCCUGGUGUAGCGGUGAAAUGCGCAGAUAUCAGGAGGAACACCGAUGGCGAAGGCAGGUCUCUGGGCCACUACUGACGCUGAGAAGCGAAAGCAUGGGGAGCGAACAGG